This 371-nucleotide ribosomal RNA is filed under the name uncultured organism. RNAcentral's name for it is "partial 16S ribosomal RNA". It matches the Rfam family "Bacterial small subunit ribosomal RNA", at positions 527 to 896 of the family's 1533-position model. The record is from RNAcentral.
GUAGGUGGCAAGCGUUGUCCGGAAUUAUUGGGCGUAAAGCGCGCGCAGGCGGUCCUUUAAGUCUGAUGUGAAAGCCCACGGCUCAACCGUGGAGGGUCAUUGGAAACUGGGGGACUUGAGUACAGAAGAGGAAAGCGGAAUUCCAAGUGUAGCGGUGAAAUGCGUAGAGAUUUGGAGGAACACCAGUGGCGAAGGCGGCUUUCUGGUCUGUAACUGACGCUGAGGCGCGAAAGCGUGGGGAGCAAACAGGAUUAGAUACCCUGGUAGUCCACGCCGUAAACGAUGAGUGCUAAGUGUUAGGGGGUUUCCGCCCCUUAGUGCUGCAGCUAACGCAUUAAGCACUCCGCCUGGGGAGUACGGCCGCAAGGCUG